UCAGGCCUAACACAUGCAAGUCGAACGGCAGCACGGACUUCGGUCUGGUGGCGAGUGGCGAACGGGUGAGUAAUGUAUCGGAACGUGCCUAGUAGCGGGGGAUAACUACUCGAAAGAGUAGCUAAUACCGCAUACGCCCUACGGGGGAAAGGGGGGGAUCGCAAGACCUCUCACUAUUAGAGCGGCCGAUAUCGGAUUAGCUAGUUGGUGAGGUAAAGGCUCACCAAGGCGACGAUCCGUAGCUGGUUUGAGAGGACGACCAGCCACACUGGGACUGAGACACGGCCCAGACUCCUACGGGAGGCAGCAGUGGGAAAUUUUGGACAAUGGGGGCAACCCUGAUCCAGCCAUUCCGCGUGUGCGAUGAAGGCCUUCGGGUUGUAAAGCAAUGUUGGCAGGAAAGAAAUCGCACGGGAUAAUACCUCGUGUGG
RNAcentral lists this ribosomal RNA (431 nucleotides) under uncultured bacterium. RNAcentral's name for it is "bacterial SSU rRNA". It matches the Rfam family "Bacterial small subunit ribosomal RNA", at positions 42 to 471 of the family's 1533-position model. The record is from RNAcentral.